AUGCCCCGUUUCGCCUCGACCUCGACCGAGGAGAACAAGCAGCACUGCUGCCUUCUUCAGUUCCGCUCGCACGCCACCUCGCCGGAGAACGUUGUCCUCGCCCGGAUCCCCGCGCCCUGCCAUCUUGUCCAUGCCGGCGAGUUCCUCCCGCGUCGUCGUCUUCUCUGCAUCAAGCCGCGCCGCCGUGCCAAGUCCCCUGCAUCGCGCCCAGCUGCCGGCGCUCGAACCUGCCUGCUUCCACGACCCGCGCUCGCCUCCAGAGGAAGAGUCAACGCACGAGCGUCUCGUGCGUGUUCCAGAUCCAGUGAACCGGCCCAGCCUCCCGAAGCCCAGCCGCUUCUUCGCUUCCAGCCCAGUGGCCCGAUCUUCGGUUUCAUUCCGGAGUUGUGA
Molecule: ribosomal RNA, 390 nt
Filed under: Triticum aestivum (bread wheat)
Lineage: Eukaryota; Viridiplantae; Streptophyta; Magnoliopsida; Poales; Poaceae
Description: partial small subunit ribosomal RNA
Source: RNAcentral